Molecule: small RNA, 66 nt
Organism: Kurthia sp. 11kri321
Lineage: Bacteria; Bacillati; Bacillota; Bacilli; Caryophanales; Caryophanaceae
Rfam family: Bacillaceae-1 RNA
Source: Rfam
AAUAGAGGUAGGCAAGAAAAGAACGCAACGUCCUGUUGCAAAUCUUGCCCCACUACAUCACGUAGC